RNAcentral lists this long non-coding RNA (418 nucleotides) under Dermacentor andersoni. Its description in RNAcentral is "uncharacterized LOC126545719". The record is from RNAcentral. Lineage: Eukaryota; Metazoa; Arthropoda; Arachnida; Ixodida; Ixodidae.
CACCGCGGGUACGGAUGCUGGGCCUCAGGAAGGGGGCGUGGCAGACAUCAACGAUGUGCCGCAGCACAUAGAAGUGAAUUUGCGCUACAUCACUACAGCGCAAGGCACACUUACAUGCUUGGAGACAUUCGGCGCGCUCGGCGUCAUGGUUCUGUACCUGCUCAUGGCGCAGACCAUCACGUAUCAGUGGUACGCGCGCGUGGCGUUCCUGAUCGCCUUCACCUACGGCCUCAACAACGUGCUCAUCAUCAUCUCUGGUGUGGCGUCGCCCUGCACGCAGCUACACCUUCCGGAAACGCUUUUCGUUAUUUUGACUGGCGUCGGAGUGAUCCAUUGCUUCCACAGUCUUGUCAACUUCAUCAAAUGAACGCGAUGUCAUAAAUAUGCGUUGAUUAGCCCAUCACUUAAGUUUCGAAAA